CCUCGCUCCGAGCUGAUAUGAGCCGGAGCAGGCCUUGCACUCCGGUGCUGUAAUGGCUCAGGAAUGCUCUUAAUGGGUACUCCACAGUAGAAUUUUUGAUAGCGGGGGGUUGCGCAAGCGCUACCCCCAC
This 130-nucleotide small nuclear RNA is filed under the name Pythium aphanidermatum DAOM BR444. RNAcentral's name for it is "snRNA EPrPAph00000013083". It matches the Rfam family "U1 spliceosomal RNA", at positions 22 to 166 of the family's 166-position model. From Rfam's summary of the family: U1 is a small nuclear RNA (snRNA) component of the spliceosome (involved in pre-mRNA splicing). Its 5' end forms complementary base pairs with the 5' splice junction, thus defining the 5' donor site of an intron. The record is from RNAcentral. Lineage: Eukaryota; Oomycota; Peronosporomycetes; Pythiales; Pythiaceae.